RNAcentral lists this ribosomal RNA (433 nucleotides) under uncultured bacterium. RNAcentral's name for it is "partial 16S ribosomal RNA". It matches the Rfam family "Bacterial small subunit ribosomal RNA", at positions 28 to 507 of the family's 1533-position model. The record is from RNAcentral.
GACGAACGCUGGCGGCAGGCCUAACACAUGCAAGUCGAGCGGACCUUUCGGGGUCAGCGGCGGACGGGUUAGUAACGCGUGGGAAUAUGCCCUUCUCUACGGAAUAGUCCUGGGAAACUGGGGGUAAUACCGUAUACGCCCUUUGGGGGAAAGAUUUAUCGGGGAAGGAUUAGCCCGCGUUGGAUUAGGUAGUUGGUUGGGUAAUGGCCUACCAAGCCGACGAUCCAUAGCUGGUUUGAGAGGAUGAUCAGCCACACUGGGACUGAGACACGGCCCAGACUCCUACGGGAGGCAGCAGUGGGGAAUCUUAGAAAAUGGGGGCAACCCUGAUCUAGCCAUGCCGCGUGAGUGAUGAAGGCAUUAGGGUUGUAAAGCUCUUUCAGCUGGGAAGAUAAUGACGGUACCAGCAGAAGAAGCCCCGGCUAACUACGUG